This 460-nucleotide ribosomal RNA is filed under the name uncultured bacterium. RNAcentral's name for it is "partial 16S ribosomal RNA". It matches the Rfam family "Bacterial small subunit ribosomal RNA", at positions 338 to 795 of the family's 1533-position model. The record is from RNAcentral.
CCUACGUUAGUCAGCCGUGCGGACUAUUGGUCCCUGGCCGCGCGUCUGCCCCAGCCAAGUAGCGUGAAGGAUGGCUGCCCUAUGGGUUGUAAACUUCUUUUAUAUGGGAAUAAAAUGUUCCACGUGUGGGAUUUUGUAUGUACCAUAUGAAUAAGGAUCGGCUAACUCCGUGCCAGCAGCCGCGGUAAUACGGAGGAUCCGAGCGUUAUCCGGAUUUAUUGGGUUUAAAGGGAGCGUAGGUGGAUUGUUAAGUCAGUUGUGAAAGUUUGCGGCUCAACCGUAAAAUUGCAGUUGAAACUGGCAGUCUGGAGUACAGUAGAGGUGGGCGGAAUUCGUGGUGUAGCGGUGAAAUGCUUAGAUAUCACGAAGAACUCCGAUUGCGAAGGCAGCUCACUGGACUGCAACUGACACUGAGGCUCGAAAGUGUGGGUAUCAAACAGGAUUAGAUACCCUUGUAGUC